This 137-nucleotide microRNA precursor is filed under the name Marmota monax (woodchuck). Lineage: Eukaryota; Metazoa; Chordata; Mammalia; Rodentia; Sciuridae. The record is from RNAcentral.
UCUAAAGCCUGUUGUACUGCUGCCAAGACUUGCUCUUGUUCAUUAAUGUCUCUACAUAAUUUAAUAUAUGUGUUUAAAUUAUGUAGAGACAUUAAUGAACAAGGGCAAGUCUUAGCAGCAGUACAACAGGCUUUAGA